RNAcentral lists this unclassified non-coding RNA (263 nucleotides) under plant metagenome. RNAcentral describes it as "partial contains small subunit ribosomal RNA, internal transcribed spacer 1, and 5.8S ribosomal RNA". The record is from RNAcentral.
UUUCCGUAGGUGAACCUGCGGAAGGAUCAUUAUUGAAUAACCGAGGUGCGAGGGCUGUCGCUGACCCGACUGGCCGUGCACGUCCGAGUGCCCUCACACACAUCCAUCUCCCCCCUUUGUGCUCCUCCGCAUGGGUCCCCCUUUGGCUUGUCCGGGGGGGGGCUUACGUUUUCCCACAAACUUUGUAUGCAGUGUAGAAUGUAUUUUUUGUUUUUGUGAUCACGCAAUCAAUACAACUUUCAACAACGGAUCUCUUGGCUCUC